AUUUUGCACCAUGGCUCUUUCAUCAGAGAGAGCUGGGGGGUGGUGAGGGGAAGGUGGAGGCCGGCCUGGAAGGAAACCCGGGGGUCAGAGGAACCUGGGGGGCUUCACAAGGCUGGGGAGAGGGGUGUGCUGAAUGUGCUCUGCCACCCAGGUGUCAAGCUCUGGACUCUGGUCUCCAGCUCAGAGUAGAUGAUGCUGCCAGUGGAGACCAGGAGGCCGGUGGGGAGAGCCUGCCUGAUGGGGGAGCAGAGGGGUCCAUGUUCCCUUCCUCAGUCUGGAGACUAUUCCUAGCCUUGGGGCUGCACCUAGGGAUGGACUGAUCCAGGCUGAACCCACAUCUCUGGUGACAUGAGGGGUGAAGGGACUGCUCUGAAAGGUGAGUCCAGCCUCACUGAGGCUGUCAGGCCUCUGAGCAUCCGGCUCCAGGUCACUGGGUGUCAGGCUUCUGCUGGAAGGAGGUGAAGGAGCUUUUCCCACGGUGGCUGUGACCAGGCUCCCCUACCCUUGGCUGCAGAUCCCUGACCCUUCCCCUGGGCAAGCCUGAGUUGUCCAGCCAUGACUGUGUCAUUCAGACAUUCAUUCAUUCGUUCUACAGACUGGCUUGUAACACACCCUGGGUGCCUGACACAGAGCUCAUGGCCAAGAUGCCCACGCAGAUCUGUGCAGCGUCCCUGCUCCCAGGAGCAGCUGAGGACACAGGCUGUCACAAUUGGCCAGACCGAGUGUUGCAGUGGAGAUGGCACAGCCUCGAGUAAAGAAGGGGGCACCCCUCCAGGCAGGGGAGCCAGGUGGGUAAUAUCUGUGCUGAGUAACCAGGCAAACAAAUUGGUGAGGAAGAGCUGGGAAGGGCAUCCAGGCAAAGGGAACAGUGUGAGCAAAGGCCCAGAGCCAGAGGAGAGCCUGGGUGUUCUGGAGCUGUGCGUCACGACUUCCGAGGUGACGCAAUCCAAGGUGUGUCAACCUCCUGCGUCCAGGGCUCCCUUCUCUGAGCUGCCGUCUCCAGCUGACACCCACUUGUCUGUUUCUGCUGAACCUCCUCUAAGAUGGCUCCUCGGGACCCGCUCGAUCGAUAGACUAGAAACCAACUCAAGAGAGUUUGUACUGGGUUGAAUGUUGUCCCCCCCGAAUUCAUACUCCCCUGGAACCUCAGAAUGUGACCAUAAUUGGAAAUAAGGCCCUGGUAGAUCUAAUUAGCUAAGAUGGGCUCAUCUGGAUUCAGGUGUCCUUAUAAGAAGAGGGAAAUUUGGACAAAGAUUCGGACACAAGGGGAGAGCACGGUUUGAAGAUGGAGGCAGAGGUUGGAGUGAGGCACCUACAAGCCAAGAAACACCAAGGACGGCAGGCAGCCACCAGAAGCCAGGAGAGAGGCAGGGACAGAUUCGCCCUCGGGAUCUCUGGAAGGAACCAACCCUGCCAACACUGCAAUUUCAGACUUCUGGCCUCCUGAACCAUGAGAGAAUAAAUUUCUAUUGUUUUCUACCUUGUGGCAAUUUGUUACAGCAGCCCUAGGAAACUGAUAGAGAUUUUAAGCAGAAUAUGGGAGUAAGGCAAGGGGUGUAAGGGACUUUCAGGAGAACCCGGGGGCAAGAAUGCAGUGGGACCUCAAAAAGAUACAAAGACCAGGGGCUGAAAAGCCCAAAAUCUUCUCUCUCACCCAGGACCCUCUCUUCCUCCCUGCGCCUCUGCUUCGGGGCUGUCUCUCAGUCUCUCUUUCUCUGCACAGCAGCUUCUUCAAUUGCUUUAGUCCUUUCCAUGGGCUCAAGAGGCCCCAC
RNAcentral lists this long non-coding RNA (1772 nucleotides) under Equus caballus (horse). RNAcentral's name for it is "lncRNA (ENSECAG00000048191.1)". The record is from RNAcentral. Lineage: Eukaryota; Metazoa; Chordata; Mammalia; Perissodactyla; Equidae.